CCUACGGGAGGCAGCAGUGGGGAAUAUUGCACAAUGGGGGAAACCCUGAUGCAGCGACGCCGCGUGAAGGAAGAAGGCUUUCGGUAUGUAAACUUCUAUCAGCAGGGAAGAAAAUGACGGUACCUGACUAAGAAGGCUCGACUAACUACGUGCCAGCCGCCGCGGUCAUACGUAGGGGGCGAGCGUUAUCCGGAGUUACUGGGUGUAAAGGGAUCGGUGGCGGGUUAGCAAGUGAGCAGUGAAAGUCCGGGGCUAAACUCUGGGACUGCUUUUGAAACUGUUUAACUAGAGUGCAGGAGAGGUAAGUGGAAUUCCUAGUGUAGCGGUGAAAUGCGUAGAUAUUAGGAGGAACACCAGUGGCGAAGGCGGGUUACUGGACUGUAAAUGACGCUGAGGCUCGAAAGCGUGGGGAGCAAACAGGAUUAGAUACCCGAGUAGUC
This 440-nucleotide ribosomal RNA is filed under the name uncultured bacterium. RNAcentral's name for it is "partial 16S ribosomal RNA". It matches the Rfam family "Bacterial small subunit ribosomal RNA", at positions 338 to 795 of the family's 1533-position model. The record is from RNAcentral.